GGGUUGUGAGGUUAAGCGACUAAGCGUACACGGUGGAUGCCCUGGCAGUCAGAGGCGAUGAAGGACGUGCUAAUCUGCGAAAAGCGUCGGUAAGGUGAUAUGAACCGUUAUAACCGGCGAUGUCCGAAUGGGGAAACCCAGUGCAAUUCGUUGCACUAUCGUUAACUGAAUACAUAGGUUAACGAGGCGAACCGGGGGAACUGAAACAUCUAAGUACCCCGAGGAAAAGAAAUCAACCGAGAUUCCCCCAGUAGCGGCGAGCGAACGGGGAGCAGCCCAGAGUCUGAAUCAGCUUGUGUGUUAGUGGAACGGUCUGGAAAGUCCGACGGUACAGGGUGAUAGUCCCGUACACCAAAAUGCACAGGCUGUGAACUCGAAGAGUAGGGCGGGACACGUGGUAUCCUGUCUGAAUAUGGGGGGACCAUCCUCCAAGGCUAAAUACUCCUGACUGACCGAUAGUGAACCAGUACCGUGAGGGAAAGGCGAAAAGAACCCCGGCGAGGGGAGUGAAAAAGAACCUGAAACCGUGUACGUACAAGCAGUGGGAGC
Molecule: ribosomal RNA, 549 nt
Filed under: Klebsiella quasipneumoniae
Lineage: Bacteria; Pseudomonadati; Pseudomonadota; Gammaproteobacteria; Enterobacterales; Enterobacteriaceae
Description: partial 23S ribosomal RNA
Rfam family: Bacterial large subunit ribosomal RNA
Source: RNAcentral